RNAcentral lists this ribosomal RNA (443 nucleotides) under uncultured Rhodospirillaceae bacterium. RNAcentral's name for it is "bacterial SSU rRNA". It matches the Rfam family "Bacterial small subunit ribosomal RNA", at positions 338 to 798 of the family's 1533-position model. The record is from RNAcentral. Lineage: Bacteria; Pseudomonadati; Pseudomonadota; Alphaproteobacteria; Rhodospirillales; Rhodospirillaceae.
CCUACGGGUGGCUGCAGUGGGGAAUAUUGGACAAUGGGGGCAACCCUGAUCCAGCAAUGCCGCGUGAGUGAUGAAGGCCUUCGGGUUGUAAAGCUCUUUUGCCAGGGACGAUGAUGACGGUACCUGGAGAAUAAGCCCCGGCUAACUUCGUGCCAGCAGCCGCGGUAAUACGAAGGGGGCUAGCGUUGUUCGGAAUUACUGGGCGUAAAGGGCGCGUAGGCGGCCGAUCAAGUCAGGCGUGAAAUUCCCGGGCUCAACCCGGGGGCUGCGCUUGAUACUGAUUGGCUUGAAUGCGGGAGAGGAUAGUGGAAUUCCCAGUGUAGAGGUGAAAUUCGUAGAUAUUGGGAAGAACACCAGUGGCGAAGGCGGCUAUCUGGCCCGUGAUUGACGCUGAGGCGCGAAAGCGUGGGGAGCAAACAGGAUUAGAUACCCCGGUAGUCAAC